RNAcentral lists this long non-coding RNA (917 nucleotides) under Papio anubis (olive baboon). Its description in RNAcentral is "lncRNA (ENSPANG00000042353.1)". Lineage: Eukaryota; Metazoa; Chordata; Mammalia; Primates; Cercopithecidae. The record is from RNAcentral.
CUUUGUAUUCACCUUUUUUAUAGCACCAAUCACAUUGUGUUUUAUUGGUUGUUUGCACGGGUGUCUCCUCUUAAGCAGACAAUUCAUCUGUUCCACAAACACUUGUCAAGCACCAGCCUUUGCCAGGUGUUGGGAAACAUGAGGAACAGCACAGGCAGGGUUCUGGCCCUGAUGGAGCCAAGUGGGAGGAUGGAUGGCCUAGACAACGCCAGGCACAAAGUAGGCCCACAUCAUAUGCUUAUGGAAUAGAAUUGAGGAUGUGGUUAUUUGGAGAGGUCAGGCAGGGAAGGGGGUUGAUGUUUUAUUGUUAUCAUACAUAAAGAGAGUCUAGAACUGGGAGGGAAGAAAAGCAACCAGAAACCAAGAAAAUCAAGUUGGCCAAGGUGAGCUGGGGGAGGAGCCCAGCAGGUCAGACCACUGUGAGAAUAGCAUUAAUGAGGAGCCUGCCAUCCACAGGGCUCAUCCAAGGCUGAGGCUGCACAUUCUCUGCCAGCUGUUUAGAACUGCCAUCACUGUGGACAGACACAGGUCUCAGAUCUGUGGUUGCCAAUGCUGGGGGAGGGAGAACAGUUAUCAGGAGGGUGUGCAAGGAGCCACAGUGGCAGGGGGGUCCUGGAGCCGACUUUAUUAAUUGAGGGGAAUGUAAUGCACCUGAUUUCUUCUAAUCACACAGGUAAAUGGAGGGAAACCAUCCCAGAGUAAGCACUAAAGCAGCAAGGAAGAAGUAGCACAGAUUGGCGUUCUCCUCUGUAUGGAUGGAGACAGUGAGUGCUGCUAGGGGAGGAAGGCCAGUCUGCUCCUUGGAAGUGAUUCUGGACAAGAACCAGCUCUUAAAGGCCAGGAUGCAUCCUUUUGAAAGAAAAUACAAAGGUAUAUCUGGAAUAAAAGCCUUCAUCCCUAGCCAGCAGGAAUGGUGA